CGGGGCGACCCGACGGAAAGUGCAGCAGAGAGCAGACCGCCGAUGGCCCGUCAGGGCACAGGCAAGGGUGAAACGGUGGAGUAAGAGCCCACCAGCGUCACGGGCAAUCGUGGCGGCUAGGCAAACCCCACCCGGAGCAAGGCCAAGCAGGGACGACCGGUGGCCCGCCGAAAGUCCCGGGUGGGCCGCGUGAGCGCGCCGGUAACGGAGCGCCUAGAUGGAUGGCCGUCCUCGACAGAAUCCGGCUUACAGACCGACUCGCAAC
RNAcentral lists this RNase P RNA (265 nucleotides) under Actinomycetota bacterium. RNAcentral's name for it is "Actinobacteria bacterium partial RNase P RNA component class A". It matches the Rfam family "Bacterial RNase P class A", at positions 90 to 367 of the family's 367-position model. From Rfam's summary of the family: Ribonuclease P (RNase P) is a ubiquitous endoribonuclease, found in archaea, bacteria and eukarya as well as chloroplasts and mitochondria. Its best characterised activity is the generation of mature 5'-ends of tRNAs by cleaving the 5'-leader elements of precursor-tRNAs. Lineage: Bacteria; Bacillati; Actinomycetota. The record is from RNAcentral.